UCCGUGCCUGUCCGGCAGCCCGCAUCGAAAACCAAUGAUUAGGCUACGCAUGUAGAGCGAAGGGCGGAGAAUCGUCGGACGCGGGUUCAAUUCCCGCCACCUCCACCA
Molecule: transfer-messenger RNA, 108 nt
Filed under: Nevskiaceae bacterium
Lineage: Bacteria; Pseudomonadati; Pseudomonadota; Gammaproteobacteria; Nevskiales; Nevskiaceae
Description: Sinobacteraceae bacterium partial transfer-messenger RNA
Rfam family: transfer-messenger RNA
About the family: Bacterial tmRNA, also known as 10Sa RNA or SsrA, is named for its dual tRNA and mRNA-like properties. Its role is to liberate the mRNA from a stalled ribosome. To accomplish this part of the tmRNA is used as a reading frame that ends in a translation stop signal.
Source: RNAcentral